AUUGAACGCUGGCGGCAUGCUUUACACAUGCAAGUCGAACGGCAGCACGGGCUUCGGCCUGGUGGUGAGUGGCGAACGGGUGAGUAAUAUAUCGGAACGUACCCAGAAGUGGGGGAUAACGUAGCGAAAGUUACGCUAAUACCGCAUACGAUCUAUGGAUGAAAGCAGGGGACCGCAAGGCCUUGUGCUCCUGGAGCGGCCGAUAUCUGAUUAGCUAGUUGGUGAGGUAAAGGCUCACCAAGGCGACGAUCAGUAGCUGGUCUGAGAGGACGACCAGCCACACUGGAACUGAGACACGGUCCAGACUCCUACGGGAGGCAGCAGUGGGGAAUUUUGGACAAUGGGCGCAAGCCUGAUCCAGCAAUGCCGCGUGAGUGAAGAAGGCCUUCGGGUUGUAAAGCUCUUUUGUCAGGGAAGAAACGGUAGAGGCUAAUAUCCUUUGCUAAUGACGGUACCUGAAGAAUAAGCACCGGCUAACUACGUG
Molecule: ribosomal RNA, 484 nt
Filed under: uncultured bacterium
Lineage: Bacteria
Description: partial 16S ribosomal RNA
Rfam family: Bacterial small subunit ribosomal RNA
Source: RNAcentral